AUGGCAUUCUUCAGCCUCCCAGCAUCACAAGACAGGAGCAGACUUGCCUUCCUGGGGGAGGAAGUGGAAACACAGAAACCUGAAUGCAGGACUCGAGCCUGGAUGGGACGCCUGGCCUAUACACUUGCUGCUGGAGGCGUGGGGUGCCUUCCCUCACGACCUGCUGCGAGCACUGGGGCAGCGGAGGACAGCCUCUUCCCAGGGGGAGACCCGUGUGGAGCAUCUGGAGUCCAUAUGCUGCUGGUUUCCACGAGGGCUCUGAGUGUAAUGGCAGGUAUUGGGCUUAAUCCCUAGAAUUCUGCAGGGUCUGCGUUUUGUCUCUAAGAUCCUGUCUUCCCCUUUGCGUUCUCAGAGGGCUGGCUUCAGUGGACAGAAUCUUCCUUGACAGCUGAUGGGGAAUUCUCAGUGGAGGACCGUUGACUUUGGAACACUUUCUGCUGUCACUCCCACAAAGCCCAAGUUUCCUGACCUAUGGGCGUAUGACAGACCCAUCUGCUUUUUGCAGUUAGUCAUUUGAGGGCCUUAAUUCUAAAAAGGCUGUGUAAAUUUAAGCUGAGGUGGUGCACAGAGGAAGUGAUAUUUAUUUGGCCCCUCAUCUCACUUCCUGCCCUCUUCCUUUGACUGUCCCAGGCCCAAGCAACGCUUUUGCCAGGAUGUCCAAGACACACCCAGCAAGAAGUGCCUCCUGCCCUCUCUCUUGAAAGAUCUCUACCCAUUCCUGUCUUGGCAUUUUAUUUCCCAUGAAAAUGAUCCCGGAGAGGAAGCCUACCUCUACCAUGUGGUCACUUAAUCAUUACAUGAAGAGCAAUAUAUAAAGUUGGUUAGAUUCAUAAGUGGUCCAUCAGGAAUGGGUUGUUAUGGGAAAUUAAAGUGUAUGGUGUGCAAUGUUAACUCUCUGAGGUUGAGAUCAAGAAUGACCACACUUCUAAACUUCCUUCCUCAAGUGUGCCUCAGGCGCAGAGGGUCCUGACUGGGGUGGGUCGUGUGCUGACCCUAGAAAAGGCCCUUGGUGCUUGUUCAUCUA
RNAcentral lists this long non-coding RNA (1024 nucleotides) under Chinchilla lanigera (long-tailed chinchilla). RNAcentral describes it as "lncRNA (ENSCLAG00000026508.1)". The record is from RNAcentral. Lineage: Eukaryota; Metazoa; Chordata; Mammalia; Rodentia; Chinchillidae.